Schistosoma rodhaini is the source of this 45-nucleotide non-coding RNA. NCBI's taxonomy places the organism in Eukaryota, Metazoa, Platyhelminthes, Trematoda, Strigeidida, Schistosomatidae. The record is from Rfam.
AUCCAGCUGACGAGUCCCAAAUAGUUCGAAACGCGCGUCCUGGAU